GUUUACAUUGCAUGCACUUA
Molecule: microRNA, 20 nt
Filed under: Ciona intestinalis (vase tunicate)
Lineage: Eukaryota; Metazoa; Chordata; Ascidiacea; Phlebobranchia; Cionidae
Description: cin-miR-4029-3p
Source: miRBase by way of RNAcentral